RNAcentral lists this ribosomal RNA (786 nucleotides) under uncultured bacterium. RNAcentral describes it as "bacterial SSU rRNA". It matches the Rfam family "Bacterial small subunit ribosomal RNA", at positions 104 to 909 of the family's 1533-position model. The record is from RNAcentral.
GGGUGAGUAAUAUAUAGGUAACAUGCCUCUUACUAAGGGAUAACAGAUGGAAACGUCUGCUAAUACCUUAUAUGCCUUUUGAGCAAAAAUUCGUAAAGGGAAAGAUUUAUUGGUAAGAGAUUGGCUUGUACGGUAUCAGUUAGUUGGUGAGGUAAUGGCUCACCAAGACAAUGACACCUAACUGGUUUGAGAGGAUGAUCAGUCACACUGGAACUGAGACACGGUCCAGACUCCUACGGGAGGCAGCAGUGGGGAAUAUUGCACAAUGGACGGAAGUCUGAUGCAGCAACGCCGCGUGGAGGAUGACACAUUUCGGUGCGUAAACUCCUUUUAUACAAGAAGAUAAUGACGGUAUUGUAUGAAUAAGCGCCGGCUAACUCCGUGCCAGCAGCCGCGGUAAUACGGAGGGCGCAAGCGUUACUCGGAAUCACUGGGCGUAAAGAGCGUGUAGGCGGAUUGAUAAGUUCGAAGUGAAAUCCAAUAGCUUAACUAUUGAACUGCUUUGAAAACUGUUGAUCUAGAGUGUGGGAGAGGUAGAUGGAAUUUCUGGUGUAGGGGUAAAAUCCGUAGAUAUCAGAAGGAAUACCGAUUGCGAAGGCGAUCUACUGGAACACAACUGACGCUGAGACGCGAAAGCGUGGGUAGCAAACGGGAUUAGAUACCCCGGUAGUCCACGCCCUAAACGAUGUACACUAGUUGUUGCCUUGCUAGACAAGGCAGUAAUGCACCUAACGGAUUAAGUGUACCGCCUGGGGAGUACGGUCGCAAGAUUAAAACUCAAAGGAA